AACGAACGCUGGCGGCAUGCCUAACACAUGCAAGUCGAGCGCCCGUAGCAAUACGGGAGCGGCGCACGGGUGAGUAACGCGUGGGAACCUGCCCAGAGGUCUGGGACAACCGCGGAAACUGCGGCUGAUACCGGAUGAUUCCUGAGGGACAAAGAUUUAUCGCCUUUGGAGGGGCCCGCGUCGGAUUAGGUAGUUGGUGGGGUAACGGCUCACCAAGCCUAUGAUCCGUAACUGGUCUGAGAGGAUGACCAGUCACACUGGGACUGAGACACGGCCCAGACUCCUACGGGAGGCAGCAGUGGGAGUAUUGGACAAUGGGGGCAACCCUGAUCCAGCAAUGCCGCGUGGGUGAUGAAGGCC
This 360-nucleotide ribosomal RNA is filed under the name uncultured bacterium. RNAcentral describes it as "bacterial SSU rRNA". It matches the Rfam family "Bacterial small subunit ribosomal RNA", at positions 29 to 416 of the family's 1533-position model. The record is from RNAcentral.